This 361-nucleotide transfer RNA is filed under the name uncultured Microcystis sp. Its description in RNAcentral is "partial 16S-23S ribosomal RNA intergenic spacer". The stretch from base 136 to 209 matches the Rfam family "tRNA". The record is from RNAcentral. Lineage: Bacteria; Bacillati; Cyanobacteriota; Cyanophyceae; Chroococcales; Microcystaceae.
AAAGGGAGACCUAAUUCAGGUAAAAGACGAAAAAAAAGUAGUCGCUACCAAGAAUCAAUCCCAAAAGGCCGGAGCGAGGCGAAAUUGGCUUUCAAACUAGGUUCUGGGUUCAAACAAGACCUGAAUCAGGAACAAGGGCUAUUAGCUCAGGUGGUUAGAGCGCACCCCUGAUAAGGGUGAGGUCCCUGGUUCGAGUCCAGGAUGGCCCACCUGCACAGGUGGCAAAAACAAGAGAAGCGAGGAAUCAGCACCUUAUCUUACUGACAUAGUAAGAGAGAAUGCUGGCUCUGAGUAAAGAGUCCAGAGGAACCUUGAAAACUGCAUAGAGCUAGGUGAAAAAGCCAAAAAAGAAGACCGCAAG